This 429-nucleotide ribosomal RNA is filed under the name bacterium. RNAcentral's name for it is "partial 16S ribosomal RNA". It matches the Rfam family "Bacterial small subunit ribosomal RNA", at positions 355 to 776 of the family's 1533-position model. The record is from RNAcentral.
UAGGGAAUCUUCGGCAAUGGGGGCAACCCUGACCGAGCAACGCCGCGUGAGUGAAGAAGGUUUUCGGAUCGUAAAGCUCUGUUGUAAGAGAAGAACGUGUGUGAGAGUGGAAAGUUCACACUGUGACGGUAACUUACCAGAAAGGGACGGCUAACUACGUGCCAGCAGCCGCGGUAAUACGUAGGUCCCGAGCGUUGUCCGGAUUUAUUGGGCGUAAAGCGAGCGCAGGCGGUUUAAUAAGUCUGAAGUUAAAGGCAGUGGCUUAACCAUUGUUCGCUUUGGAAACUGUUAAACUUGAGUGCAGAAGGGGAGAGUGGAAUUCCAUGUGUAGCGGUGAAAUGCGUAGAUAUAUGGAGGAACACCGGUGGCGAAAGCGGCUCUCUGGUCUGUAACUGACGCUGAGGCUCGAAAGCGUGGGGAGCAAACAGG